CCUACGGGUGGCAGCAGUAGGGAAUCUUCCACAAUGGGCGCAAGCCUGAUGGAGCAAUGCCGCGUGGGUGAAGAAGGUCUUCGGAUCGUAAAACCCUGUUGUCAGAGAAGAAAGUGCGUGAGAGUAACUGUUUACGCUUCGACGGUACCUAACCAGAAAGCCACGGCUAACUACGUGCCAGCAGCCGCGGUAAUACGUAGGUGGCAAGCGUUAUCCGGAUUUAUUGGGCGUAAAGCGAACGCAGGCGGUCUUUUAAGUCUGAUGUGAAAGCCUUCGGCUUAACCGGGGUAGUGCAUUGGAGACUGGGAGACUUGAGUGCAGAAGAGGGGAGUAGAACGCCAUGUGUAGCGGUGAAAUGCGUAGAGAUAUGGAAGAACACCAGUGGCGAAAGCGGCUCUCUGGUCGGUAACUGACGCUGAGGUGCGAAAGCGUGGGUAGCAAACAGGAUUAGAUACCCGAGUAGUC
This 465-nucleotide ribosomal RNA is filed under the name uncultured bacterium. RNAcentral describes it as "partial 16S ribosomal RNA". It matches the Rfam family "Bacterial small subunit ribosomal RNA", at positions 338 to 795 of the family's 1533-position model. The record is from RNAcentral.